RNAcentral lists this ribosomal RNA (1326 nucleotides) under Pherbellia dubia. Its description in RNAcentral is "16S ribosomal RNA". Lineage: Eukaryota; Metazoa; Arthropoda; Insecta; Diptera; Sciomyzidae. The record is from RNAcentral.
GAAUAAAAUUUAUUUAUUAAUAUUAUAUUUUUAUAAUAUAAAUUAUUAAAAAUAAUUAUAAAAUUAAUUGUUUUAGUAUUGUAUAAAGAAUAAAUAAAAUUAAUAAUAGUUAAUUAGUAUUGUGAAAGAAUAUUGAAAUAAGUUGAAAAAUUUUUAUAAUAAAAGAAAAUUUAAUUUAUUGUACCUUGUGUAUCAGGGUUUUUUAAAUAAAAAAUAAAUAUUUAUUUUUCUCGAUUUUAUAAGAGUUAAUAAAAUAUAAAAGUUAAUGUAAUAAAAUUAUUUUUCAUAUUUUAUUAGAAAUGAAAUGUUAUUCGUUUUUAAUGGUAUCUAGUUUUUUUAGAAAUAAAUUUAAUUUAGAAAUUUAAAAUUAUUAAGUUAUUUAUUAAUUUAAUAAAUUUAAAAUUUUAAUAUUUUAAGGGAUAAGCUUUAAAAUAAAUUAUUAAAAAUAAUAAAUAAUAUAUUAAAAAUGUAUGCUUAGAAUUAGCAAUCUUUAGUAAGUUUGUUAUAAUUUAUUUUAAUAAUUAAAUUAUUUAUUAAAUUUUAAUUUUUUAUAAAAAUAUUUUUAUAAAUAAUAAAUAGAAAUUAAUAAUGAAAAAAUUAGUAUAUUUUUAUGUUUAAAUAAAUAUAAGUGAUAAGUUUAAGUAAAGAAUUCGGCAAAAAUAAUGUUCGCCUGUUUAACAAAAACAUGUCUUUCUGUAAUAAAUAUAAAGUCUAACCUGCCCACUGAGUAUUUAAAUGGCCGCAGUAUAUUAACUGUGCAAAGGUAGCAUAAUCAUUAGUCUUUUAAUUGAAGGCUGGUAUGAAUGGUUGGACGAGAUAUUAACUGUUUCAUUUAAAUUUAUAAUAGAAUUUUAUUUUUUAGUUAAAAAGCUAAAAUUUAUUUAAAAGACGAGAAGACCCUAUAAAUCUUUAUAUUUUUUUUAUAUUAAUUAAUAAGAUACAUUUUAUUAUUAUAAUUAAAAAUAUUUUAUUGGGGUGAUAUUAAAAUUUAAAAAACUUUUAAUUUUUUAUAACAUUUAUUUAUGAAUAUUUGAUCCAUUAAUAGUGAUUAAAAAUUUAAGUUACUUUAGGGAUAACAGCGUAAUUUUUUUGGAGAGUUCUUAUCGAUAAAAAAGAUUGCGACCUCGAUGUUGGAUUAAGAUAUAGUUUUAGGUGUAGCCGUUUAAAUUUAAAGUCUGUUCGACUUUUAAAUUCUUACAUGAUCUGAGUUCAAACCGGCGUAAGCCAGGUUGGUUUCUAUCUUUAAAAUUUUAAAAUAUUUUAGUACGAAAGGACCAAAUAUUUAAAUAAUAAUAUUUUUAAUUAAGAAUUUAAUUAAUAUUAUAU